AAGAUAUUAGUAAAAUUAUUACUAAGUCUUGUCAUGACUUAAUUACUAGCUAAAUUCUUGUAUAUCUUAU
Molecule: transfer RNA, 70 nt
Filed under: Desmognathus wrighti (pygmy salamander)
Lineage: Eukaryota; Metazoa; Chordata; Amphibia; Caudata; Plethodontidae
Description: tRNA-Asp
Source: RNAcentral